GCAAGCCGAAGGGCAGCCACCGGUUUUUACAUUUAGGUGUAAUUUAAACUGAGGAAACUCCACCCAUCAUACAGAACCGUGAUGCCAUAAGGCAUCUGCUGAGAGGCAGGACACUGGAGCAGAAACGAUACGUUUCCUUGAUGGUUGAACAUGAAGCGCAAGCGGAUGGACAUCAGGAAAAAACGGUGAAACGGCCAUUCCACGGGAUGUAAGGACAAAUGCUGCUGAUGAAUCCUGUAUGAAGCAGAGGUAGUCCGCAUAGAUGAAUGCUGCCACGAACAGAAGGUGGGUUACUCUCGGCAUGC
This 305-nucleotide RNase P RNA is filed under the name Methanobacteriaceae archaeon. Its description in RNAcentral is "RNase P RNA component". It matches the Rfam family "Archaeal RNase P". Rfam says of the family: Ribonuclease P (RNase P) is a ubiquitous endoribonuclease, found in archaea, bacteria and eukarya as well as chloroplasts and mitochondria. Its best characterised activity is the generation of mature 5'-ends of tRNAs by cleaving the 5'-leader elements of precursor-tRNAs. Lineage: Archaea; Methanobacteriati; Methanobacteriota; Methanobacteria; Methanobacteriales; Methanobacteriaceae. The record is from RNAcentral.